This 1261-nucleotide long non-coding RNA is filed under the name Cottoperca gobio. RNAcentral's name for it is "lncRNA (ENSCGOG00000000010.1)". The record is from RNAcentral. Lineage: Eukaryota; Metazoa; Chordata; Actinopteri; Perciformes; Bovichtidae.
GAUGAAAACACACCAGAAGAACCAAAACACGUCUCAUAUCUGGUUUGGAUUCAACAGGAGACGAUGUUGCUCUGCUGGGACUCUCAGGGGAGUUUGCGUCAACACUGGAGGCCUGUUUUCAGCUCCGUGCCGCCUAACACUGAUGCAGUUCUCCACAGUGACACCUUGGACCUGCCCAGAACAACCACAGCCUUCAAGGUCACCUCCGCACGAGCUGCUGUCAUCCCUCCCAUCCCUCAGCUCCCAGUCGGGAAGAUUUUCAGACAUCCGCAAGACAACGACAUUUUAAAAUGUAUUCCGAUCAAUGCAAAAGUGACCAAACUUCUCCAGGCUUGUGUUGUGAAGGACACAAGACUCCACGGGCCGUAGUGAAAUGUGUAGAGGAUGGAGGUGGAAGGGUUUAUCUGCUAAAUCCCAGCAAAUGGCUCCGCUAUCGUGGACAAUGACUCUAAAUAAUGUCAACAGCUCAUUCCCACCAGAGCUGGGGUUAUGUGUGUGUGUGUGUGUGUGUGUGUGUGUGUGUGUGUGUGUGUGUGUGUGUGUGUGUGUGUGUGUGUGUGUGUGUGUGUGUGAGAUGGGGAGUUGUAUAUAAGCUGCAGCUCAGAAGCAGGUUGAUGUGAUACGAGGCCGUGUCUUCACAUCAGACAAAGCAGCAGCUCGAGGUUUUUGGCCGAGAAGAUUUUGAAGAUGCUGAGUCGACGGUAACGCUGUGACACGCACCACAUGUACCGCUGUUUAACAUUUAUUCUCAAUUUCUUCUGUUCAGAAAUUCACUUGCACACUUCCACUAAAGGACAUUGGGAGAAGAGGGGACUUCGAAGGGUUUAGAUUAAUUUUGUUAUCGCAGAAGAGAAACCAAAUAACACAUUAUUCAUCGGAUGCCAUCGUUGGGAAUUACAAGCAUGUAGAUUCUUAUUAAUGUCAUCAUCCUUGUGCUUCCUGUCACAGACAGAAAUGCAAACACUAGAAAUGAUUAGUCAACUAAUCCUGUAGUCGAUUGGCAGGAAAUUAAUCGGCAAAUAUUUUGAUAAGUUUGUUUAGUCAUUCUCUCUUUCCUGUCUUACAUCAUAUUAAACGGAGUAUCUUUGAGUUCUGGAGUGUUUUCUAUCAUUUUAUAGACCAAAUCUUUAACUAAUAGUGGAAAAAAACGUUGAUUAAUCGAUUAUGAAAGUAUUGAAGAUGAAGUUCUGCUUGAAAUGGAUGUUUGUGAAGUUUCACUCUGUAAAUGUGGAAUAAAAUACUGAAAAUGUUAGUUGCUGCC